This is a non-coding RNA of Pelobates cultripes (western spadefoot toad), 818 nucleotides long. Lineage: Eukaryota; Metazoa; Chordata; Amphibia; Anura; Pelobatidae. The record is from the annotation of a GenBank genome assembly.
CAGAGGGGAACCCCCUAGCCUUCUGGUUCUGAACUGCUCUUCUUGGUGGGAUAAAUCAGAUAUUCAAAUAGUAAGUUUACAUUCUGAAAUGGCGCAAGGGAGCUAAACUUGUUAAAAACCUUCUAGAAAGUUUAAAAUUUUUGUCCAUUGUCCGUUUUGGUCUCCAUGUCUUAACUCCGAGGUUCUACAGUGAUGUAGUUCUGUAUGUUCCAGUUGGAUAAUGAACACAUAGCCUGUAUAGGUUUGUUUCUUCUUAAGAUAAGUCCAGUCCAUGAGUGCUACACGGUAUGUUUAUUGGCUGGGUAUUGGUGUUUAGAAGUCAGGUGUUGGAUAUUUGUUUUUAAAUAGCAGUGGGAUUUAUUAUGCACAAGAAAAAAUAAAUUUCAAUGAAGUCCAGGUCUCCCUACUGCACAUGCAAACCCACCUCGGUGUCCCCAGUUCCCAACUUGUGAUACUCCAUGUUCCCCUAACCUUCUCUCCACUUCAGACUCAACUUUUGAGGAAAAAAAUUAAAACAUACUAACAUACAUAUAGUACACAUUCAAGUUUCACAUACAUACACAUGUCCACUAAUAUACAAACACACAAAAGAGACUGUUUGCUACAGUGGUGAGCAUUAGAAAAUAUACAUAAUGGAGGUGUGCCUUAGUCAUGAGAUUAACUCUGCACCCAACAGAGGCUAAGUGGUUAUCACAAAAAAAAAAUAUCUAUAACACUGUUUUUGGUCAGAGUACACCCUGACUGACAUGGUACCCUCUCAAAAAAAUAAAAAAAAAUAAUCAAUAUUAAAAGGUAAAAAUGUCCAUGCUGAGGCCAAG